This is an RNA transcript of Centruroides sculpturatus (bark scorpion), 2397 nucleotides long. RefSeq lists it as uncharacterized. The transcript is spliced from 5 exons. Lineage: Eukaryota; Metazoa; Arthropoda; Arachnida; Scorpiones; Buthidae. The record is from RefSeq and is a predicted model, not a curated record.
UUUUAUUUUUUACUAUUUAUUUGAUUUCAUGAGAGAUCGCUGAACAAUUUUCAAAAUUGUUCGAGAUCUUUUAGGUUGUUCUAAAGGCAGAAAUGAAUUUCGAACGUUCCAAAAUAAAUGUAAAAUUAAUUAAAUUCUUCAACUUAGUUUAUAUAAACAUCCAGUCUUCGACAUUACUCUAAAAUCAGGACCUGAAAAUUAUAUAUUUUUAACAGAAAACAAAAUUGUAUUCGACUUUUAACUAUGAAAAUGUAUUAUAACUAUAAAUGGAUGAUUUUUUCAUUCUUAAUGGCGAUUCUUUAUGAAAUUACUAGUGAAAAUAAAUCAAUUUUAGGCUUGUAUAGUCGUAACAAAUUCAAUUUUAGCUCUUCCUAUGGAGAAAAUAAUCGGAACUAUUCAAUUUUACAUGAAAAUACGAUAAGUUUAAGACCUGCUUCGUCCUAUAUUUCAAGGUUUCGGCGUGAUAUUCGUUAUAAAGUAAAUAGAAAUGAAGAGAAAGGACAAACUGCUAUCAAAAAUGGCGAAAUGGCUUCGAAAUUGAAAGAUAGAGACUCCGAGGAAUCAAAAAAGAAUGGUAGAGAAAACAACAACGAUAAAUCACAGAUUUCUUCUAGUAAUAAAAAUAAGCUUGACAGCAUUUACAAGUAUUUAAAAUCUUUAUUAAACGUUAAAGAAGUAAACGAUAAAGAAAAUUUGAAAUUCGGUCCACGUUCCAUUCCAAAAGUAGAUGAAGAAAAUAAACCAAAUGCCAAAGAAAUACGGAAGAAAAAUGUUUUAAUUAUGCAAAAUUAUAAGCAACAAUCACCUUCAGCCAUGGAAAGAAAAGUGAAAGAUCCCAUGGAUAAAGCAUCUUUACCACAAAACUUCGAGAAUACAGUUAAAAUUUCUGAUAAAUCUUCAAAAAUCUUAUCAAAAUUUGUUAAAUAUCGCGAUGACAGACUUUUAAAUAAAUAUCUAAUGAAAGAAAGGAGAUAUCUUCAAAAUAAAACCAGUCAAAACCAUGCAAAAACAAUAACAAAAAGAUAUCAUACAAUGUUACGAAAAGAAAACUACAAAAGCCUCGAGAACCAUAUAAGAAUUGCAUCAAAAAAUUCCAAUCAGCAAAGAGAAAAUGAAGUUGGGAAUAAUAAUUUAAUAGAACAAGUCAAAACUACAACACCCGUUAAGUUUAUAUUACUGUUUAUGGUUCUUUGUGUAAGUAUUGUUAUCAUAACCGUACUUUUUAACUGCCCAUUAAUUUACAAAGCAUUAAGUGGAGGUAAUUAUGAUCAUAACAAUAACGCGAAACAGCCAUUAAUAUCAAUAAAUGAAGAAAAACCACCACGAAAGCGACUCUUUCCUUCUAAAACUAGACAUAGAAAUGUCAAAGAUUUUCAUUGGAAUGUGAAAAAAUCCACGAAAUCAAAAAGUGACUCUUCAGAGAACGAAUCAAAUACAAGUGAAAGAUCUCAGAUCUUAGAAACAAAGUUAUUGAAUGGCGUAAAGAAAAUACCCAAUAGCAAUGAGGAAAAUAUUAAAAUAGACAAACAAAAUAUAAAAGUUUCUAGUAGUGAUCAUUGGGAGAACAUAGAGAUGACCAUGGACCAAAAAGAUAAUGUUGUUGAAUUGUGCGCUUUGCUCUCUCCAAAAACUAGUAAAAACAAUGAAAAUAUUGUUAAAAUAGAAGAAGGGGACAUAUUAGACGAGAAAAAUAUUGAAGUUAUUCAUAAAUAUGGCCAAUACUUAAGUGAAUUACGUAAUGUUUUGGACGUAGCCAACAAGCAAUUAGGAAAAGAAUUCGUAGAUUCAACUGAUGAAAACAAUUACGAAACGAAAAUACAGAGUAAAACGAACUUUUCUAAUAAUUGCAACGUGUGGAAAUGCGAACCUCAUCUCUUAAAGUCCAAUUUCUUGGAUAAUGCACAAAGUAAGGAUGAGACGACCACCACAGAUGAGGAACAAGUAACCACGAGUAAUCCAAAAAGACAGAUAACAAAGUUGAGUCAAAUUAGAAAAAUUUUACAGAAUUCUGUUAAUUCAGAUAACACUACUAACACUAGUAAACAAUUUCUGAAUCCACAUUCGAUGAUCGAUGUCUUAGAAGAAUUUCAAACUGAUUAUUCUUUUUCUGAUCCUCUCAUAAUCCAUGAUGAAUACAAAGAUGGAGUGUUUAAUGAUACAAAUGAUAAUUCUGAAACAGAAACCAGUUCGUCAUCCAUAUUUAUAAGGAAAGAAAAACAGAAACGAAAGAAGAGUUAUCGUGGGGAAUUUCGUCAUAAAUGUAAAGAAGCAUACUUUUGAGGAAAAUAAGACGAUAAAAAUUGUUAAUUGGUGCUUAAUUUUUUUAAAAUUAAAAGUUUUUAUCUAGCGUGUUGCCCACCCCUGGUUUAGAAGAAGUUUUACAUUAUGUUUAAUUUU